Non-coding RNA from Petromyzon marinus (sea lamprey), 3720 nucleotides. The record is from RefSeq and is a predicted model, not a curated record. NCBI's taxonomy places the organism in Eukaryota, Metazoa, Chordata, Hyperoartia, Petromyzontiformes, Petromyzontidae.
GUGCGCUGAUACAAAAAAAAACAUCCUUCCCAGCCUUGUCGUCACCAACCACCCAACACCAUUUGCCAGGCCCGCGGUGGCUUUGUUAGGCUUCCCCAUAGAUGGUGUAGAGGUGGAACAAGACUGGUACACAUUGAAAUCAACCCACAUUAAAGAAAACCUUGGAGUUGAAGAUGUUUUAUGUAAACUAGACAAAAACACUCGUCAUAAGAUGCUCCGUUUUGGAUUUAGUUCAGGACCUUCAUAGGCAAGACGUUUGAUAUAAGAAGAAUUACCUACUACAGUGCAAUCUGUUCUGCAAACAAUGCAAUUGCAAAACACAGUCAUAUUUAGAACAAUUAUUGUACCAAACCAACUGUUAUAAGCUAUGACUGGUUUGAUUUUUGCAUAUCAAAUAUAAAUAAACUGUUUACACUCAAAACAGCAGGGCAGUUAUUAUUAUUUGGAGGCUUGUAUUGCUCACAAAAUGCAUUUGUGCCCAAAUUGGUAUGCGAAGGAGUUUUUUUGGCACGCAAUCUUUCGUGAUUUUUUUAAACUUAAGACACUGCUGUUGCUGUCAUCAGAACCUGCCUCAUCUUAGUAUAUUGAGAAAUUAUUGGAUUUCUCGGUAAAGAAAUUGGUAACAUGUUACACUGUUUACGUUUCACACCAGUAAAACAUUGAGGUAUGUGGUCUUCUCUGUAAGUUGACCCAUUCAGGGUAGCAUAUUUUAUGUGUAGGAUAAGUUAAGUUGUGUAAUGUCUGUGUAAAGUGAAUGCACUUGUACAAAAGGACAUUUUAUGGAAUAGAAUGAUGGUGCUACUGCAUUGUUGCAUUUAUUGCUAAAGGUGUUAUAGAGAUGCUAAAUAAUGGUUAAUAAUGGUUAUUUAUAGGAAUAUAAAUAACCAUUAUUUAGCAUCUCUCUUGUCCAUUGUGUCCUUCAACAUUUGGAUUAUAAUCAACAUUACAUUGCCUGACAUACACACUUAAAAUGUUUUGUUCAGCAUUUCGCAAAACACCUGUUUUAAAUUCUGGGAAAGCAAGCCUUAUUUUGACUUGUACUUAGAAAAUUUCGAAACGUCUGUCAGAGUUUAGAUUUUUCAUGUGCUACAGCACGCCCCUUGUGCAUUAAAAAUGAGGAAUGUCUUUUUUCAAAAAUGUUUUAUUGGUAUUGAAUAACCACCUUACUGUGGUUUAUAUAAAAAAACGCAUUUCAAUUGGUGGUUGAAGUUCAAAGUGGACUGUGGCCCUCAAAGGAAUAGCGCCACCCCCGUGAUCACCCCCAUGAUAUGUGGAUCAAAGAAACUACUCUCGACGCUGGUAUGGCAGCAAGAAAAGUUUAUGCGAAUGCUGUGUGCAAGAGGUCACACAUUUGGCCCAACGGUCUUGCGCUGAUGAUGCAUGAUGAAUGAACGUGAUUUAUAAAAGUAAAAAACAUUGCAUUGUUUUGAAACGUGUUGAUAUGAGUCGCGUGAUAAACACAAUUUUGUAAGAUAAAAUGUAAUGUCUGCAGUGUUUACGGCCUUUAAAUGAAUUACCUGUGUUAUAGACUAUGUACGGUGUAACAAAAUCUAGAAUGUAUAAUGCAUAUUUAUGACUUAAAGCUCAAAGUAGCUUUGGCUUAGACCAACAGUGUAAGUAAUGAUUAAUUAUAGCUGCUGUGAUUUGGAAGGUACUGGAAAAUUAUAUUGGGGAUGUUUGUGACGUCUCAGAAAUAUUAAGUCGGCCAGUGUUAUAUUGUCAUCAUUCUCUUUGGUUCUUUCGCUUAAGUCGCAUAGAUAGAAAAUUAAUAGAUCACGACGUUUCGAUCGCAACACAAGCAAUCGUCAUCAGGUGAGGCAGUUAUGCUGUUUGGAAAGCUUCAUAUCAAGAUUGUCAUUAUUGCAUGCGAAAUGGUCUUCCCAUGCCAUCUCAUUUUCUUGUACAUAAGGAACAUAAAAAUGUGCAUAUGUACGUGAACAUUUAAAAAGUCCGACUGCUUGCACUCUUGUUUUCUGUUAUAUUUUUUGUACACAUUUCCAGUCGCUUUAUUUUGCAGUAUUGUGAUUCAUGCUAUUUUUGGCUACUUGUAACAACUCGGCCAAGUUGUUCUAUGACUUGUUAAUUGAAUACAAUUACAAACAUUAGAUAUAAUUAAUUUAUAAUUAAUUGCAAUGCUUUGUCAAGCCACUGCUGGACGAUGGGCUCUCCAUCUCGUGUCGGUUGUUUUGGUCAUACUUCACAGGUCGGUCCAGGUUGGUGACAUGGUAGCUGUGGCUGAGAAGUUAAAUCCAGUUGCUGGGUCAGUUGUGGAAUGUGCUGACCACAGUGCCAUGAUUACUCUCAACAAUAAUGCACUGAUGCAUUUGGUAACUGCUUUGGUCCAGGAAUAGAUUUGGGCCACUUUUAUUCCCAUAGAGCACGGUCAUCUUUUAGCACAGUAGGUGAUAUCAAGACAUGUAUUUUAAACCAAUGUAAGCCAACUCAUUUGUACAACAGCACAAGUUAUACAUGACACGAACUUUUUUUAAAUGUCUGCCUUAAUAUUAACUUGUGUACAUUUAAUUUCACAAAUGUACACAUCCCUGGUCUCCAUCUCGAUACGAUUGUGUUGAGCUGAUGUAUUCAAUGGCUAUCAACUUGGCAGAUUGAUACUGCACCUCAACUGAACUUUUUUUUACAACUGAAGGGCAUUUGGUGGAGUUGAUCCUUCAUGAGCUAUGAUAAUCAGCUUGAGCGUUAAGCUCCGUAGCAAAGUAGAUACAUGUGUCUCUUUGAUAUUGUAGGAGUGGAUAAAACGUAAGCUUUUUUUGGAGGUGGUUCCACCUCAAAUAUUUAUCCGCAAAAUAUAGUCUGCGUUUGUAUUUUGUUUGUAAUUGUCCAUUAUUAAAAUAUUCGUCUGCAUAAUCCAUAAAGAUGGAACAUUUCAUUUGUAAGCAUGUCAAGUGAUGACUGCUUGCAUGAAUAUUGAGAUUUUGAUGUAUAUGGAUUUAGUAGCAAAUACAAAUCAUGGGAAUGUUAAAGAAAACCAAUUUAUGCACGUGUUAUCUUGAAAUGUUUGCUUUUUCAGAGUUAUUUUACAGAGCUCUGAACUUGACUGGAUUAUAAACGUGUGUUUUACGUAAGAACCUAUGUGGUGGUACGGUACUAAGGGAUAUUCAUGGAGAUGAAUGGUCCAUCUGGUUUCCCAACAGCUUGCUGCUCCUGGUUGGUUAAUUCUGCUAAACCUAAAGUGAUGAAGUGUGUUGGUGUAUAUAUGUUUCCCUCACGAUACAUUGGGCGACUAGCACUUGUUUGACUUAAAUGAAAAGUAAACUAAUUACAUUGCAGGGGAAAACAUUUGGAAUGGCUUUUUGUUUUGUAAGCUAUAUAUAUGAUAUGUUUGGUUUAGUGUUUUGUACGAUAGUAUUACUGUGUUUGAAAACAAGUUAGAGCUUCUUAAAAUUGAGCUAGCUCAUGUUGUAUAAGACUUCUGAUCAUCUGCUCUCCAUGGUUAAAUUGUAUUGCGUGCUGAGAAAAUAAAACUUCUAACUUCACUGUAUCAAAAGUAGUGGCAUAAAGGAUAAUGUAUUUCGUUUAUACUUGUCAAUUUCAGCUACGUACUAGUAAUAUCUGUACCUCGUGAGCUCUGUACUGUUAACCAUGAAUGUAGAGGGUUUUUUUAAGUCUUGCCUUACUGGCUGCAACAUGCAGUGACUGCAAAUGUCAUGUUUGUCAUCGUGGCAUUGAAUUGUCAAUAAAGCCUCCAAUAAGCCCCAUGAA